Molecule: long non-coding RNA, 1831 nt
Organism: Acanthopagrus latus (yellowfin seabream)
Lineage: Eukaryota; Metazoa; Chordata; Actinopteri; Spariformes; Sparidae
Exons: 2
Source: RefSeq, a predicted model, not a curated record
AAACCACUGGAUGGUGGUAAAAUAAGUAUACACUAUCUGUAGCACAAUAUCUGAAACAUGGUUAUGGUCCUUCAAUGGGAAUAAAUGUAAGUCCUUCUUUUUCUUCUUUUCACCUGUUUUGUUCCCACAGUCUAAGAGAGAAAGAAACCAGCAAUGAGGUGUGAAACUUUGUUGAUUUUAAUGUUCACAGUUGUAAAAUGCAUUGUAUAGUAAAGGGUGCAGUAACUGCCUCAUGUGAAAAAGCUAUUCCUUUUUUUUAGUGUAAUUAAAUGACCUUAAUGUAAAGCUAUAGUGAUUAUUUGUACACUACGUUUGGAGCACCACAAUGUGAAGCUCUGCCCUUCAGCACUCUCCAUGACGCUCAGCUUCAAUAGUUUUCCCUGCCUUCAUACAUGUUAACACAUUAACUAACUGCAAACAACUGAUCAUGGCAAACUUGCCAGUGUCUCCAGAUUUCCAUGCUGAGAAAGAUCAAGAGAGUGGUAAGUGGUGUUCGAAUGUGUUGGGAAUGGUGAUAGCGCGCGGGGGGUGGAAUCUAAGAAUCGAAGCAUCAAAGCAACAGUUGUGAUGUGGGCCAGUUCUAAAUGACUGACUACUUUACUGCCAUCAAGCUUAUAAAUAUAUCUUAGAAGUGAUCCAGAGAAGUUAACAGUCUUCAACCACUGUGACACAGCUGAGUAACUGCUUCCUUUCUGUUUCAGGAGUCAGAAAGCUGAGAUGAAUUUAUAACGUUAAGAAUGGUUUAGUUAUUUGCAGGAAAUCAGAGCUCAUGUCAUAUUAACUAACUGCAAACAACUAAUCAUGUCAAAUGUGCCAGUGUCUCCAGAUUUCCAUGCAGAGAAAGAUCAAGAGCCUCAGCCUUGACAAACACAACACUGCGUAGACCUUGUGCUUUCAGGUGGCCACGACAUUUAAUGCGCUGAAGGAGAACCAGGUGAUGGGCCAAACCAGCAACAUAAUGAUGGUGAAUCAACGACAGCGACCCUUUGAAGACAGCAAUACCAUCCAACCAGACAACGACACUCCAUCUCCUGAAAUUCUGCCAUCAAGCAUGAUCUUGGUUUGGCCCAUGACCGCCGAGAACACACAAUGCUGGAAGAUCAGGAGAUUCCAAAAACAUGGGGGUGAAGGAGAAACAUCAGAAGAAGAAGAAUGGCUUCCGGCGCAUCUUCCCCUGGAUGUGGAAGAUCCUCAGGUCAUGAGUUACCACUAAUGAUGAGGAUUAGGGAUGUUUGGGAUAUUUCUAUCUAUUUCUAUCUCUCUAUCAUUCUCCCUGUGUUUUGUGGGGGGUUUUACUCCGGGUGCUCCGGUUUCCUCCCUGACCUGCAGCUGACCUCCAUACUCUAACACCACUGCAUUAAUUCUGUUGUGUCAUUCUACCUCAUAUAAAGUAGGCACCGUACAAAUUAGCUUUAUUUAAUUCCUAUUCAUUUUAUAUUCAUCCAUUUAGUUCCUGCAUUUAAUUACCAACAAGGUUUAACUGUAACAUUCAGUGAUGAUAAAAAUAACCACAACAUUUACAUUUAGGGCAUUUAGCAGACGCUUUUGUCCAAAGCGACUUAUUUCAUAUAUACAUUCAUACCCUGAUGGUGGUGGCCGGCACCUUGCAUGGCAGCCCAUCAGGAACAGUUUGGGAUUCAGUAUCUUGCCAGCAUCCUUCCAUCCUUAACAAAGAUGCUAGCUCUACCCCUGAGCCACAGCCAAUCCCAACAACAAUUAAGAUAAUGAUUACAUAGCAGAGACCACAAAUCAUUUUCUGGUGUGUGGACAUGGCAGAUUAGAAGGCUCUUCUCCAGCAGCUGUUAGAAGCUUCUCCAAAAAGUAGAUUAGU